RNAcentral lists this long non-coding RNA (690 nucleotides) under Mus spicilegus (steppe mouse). RNAcentral describes it as "lncRNA (ENSMSIG00000020792.1)". The record is from RNAcentral. Lineage: Eukaryota; Metazoa; Chordata; Mammalia; Rodentia; Muridae.
GAAAGGUCCCUUCACUCCUGAAAAGACAACCCUUCUCCUGAGUAGGUGAUCUGAUUCAUCCCAAUAUGUGUUCUUCGAUGACUUAGAAUCAUUGCGCAACCAGGACGAGAAGCCAACGUACCGAUCUCAGCUGAACAGGAAGUUGGGUGCGGACCAGAUUACUGCACUCCUGAAUGAGCCUGCUCUCCAGUGCUCUCGUUCUGGGACUCCCCAUUCACAGCGCAAGUGUUGUUCCUACAGUGCUGCAGUUGUGUUUAAAGAGAGAGAGAGAAUGAGAUUUUAAAUACCAUGAUGCGGGAACUGGCCAGAGGAGUGAUAACUGAAGGGAAAAGCUAACUGAGCACAGUUGUGAACUGAAAGCACAGACACAGCAAGCAACAGUGAUGCCAGCAGCAUCCUGGGGAGCAAGGCUCCUUCCUGCUCACCCACGACUUAGGUUCAGGAACCGUGGAAGUCUUGCCACUGACGGCUGCUCUACAACAAAGUGUGGCUCCUGUUUCCAUCAGCAGAGCCACUCCAGUAACCGAGGUGCUUGUGCCAGCACAGAGCCUUCCUGAGCUGAUAAGCAUUGCCAGAGUCCGCACUGGGAGUCCAUCCUGCCUGAGUGCUUCACUUCAAAGACAAGAAUGAGAGUGCUGAUAAUUUACAUUUUGAGGCAGCCCAUCAGAUGUAUGUGCAACAAGAGACGUA